This 468-nucleotide ribosomal RNA is filed under the name uncultured bacterium. RNAcentral describes it as "partial 16S ribosomal RNA". It matches the Rfam family "Bacterial small subunit ribosomal RNA", at positions 28 to 507 of the family's 1533-position model. The record is from RNAcentral.
GACGAACGCUGGCGGCGUGCUUAACACAUGCAAGUCGAACGGUGAAGCUCCAGCUUGCUGGAGUGGAUCAGUGGCGAACGGGUGAGUAACACGUGAGCAACCUGCCCCUGACUCUGGAAUAAGCGCUGGAAACGGCGUCUAAUACUGGAUACGAGAAGGGUCCGCAUGGGCACUUUCUGGAAAGUUUUUCGGUUGGGGAUGGGCUCGCGGCCUAUCAGCUUGUUGGUGAGGUAAUGGCUCACCAAGGCGACGACGGGUAGCCGGCCUGAGAGGGCGGCCGGCCACACUGGGACUGAGACACGGCCCAGACUCCUACGGGAGGCAGCAGUGGGGAAUAUUGCACAAUGGGCGAAAGCCUGAUGCAGCGACGCCGCGUGAGGGAUGACGGCCUUCGGGUUGUAAACCUCUUUCAGCAGGGAAGAAGCGAAAGUGACGGUACCUGCAGAAGAAGCACCGGCUAACUACGUG